CGACAAGCUUUUUCUUCGAAUCAAAGCCUCAAACUCCUUCCUCCCAAGCUCUUGAGUGCGAUAAGGCUUCGAUCCAAGGUGGCGAAGCUUCCUUCCAGGGGAAGAGAAUUGCCGACCUGUGAGCGCGUCUCAAGGCUAGACAACUGGUUCAGCUGUGACGUUGGACUGGGUUGUGCUGGGCAGGCAGUAGACUGAUCAACCUUUUCUUCUUGCCUAGGCUAGUUUGCAGUGUACAUGUAAACUUUAUGGAUCCACUAGACUUGACUUUUGUGUAUUGUUUUUUAAUUUGUACUUUUUGGUUGUAUUUGGAACCCUGGCUGGUUCUGUAGUGGAGGUUGUCUCCCUCUUUAGUAAGCUGUGAUAUGAGGUUUGUUUUGAGCUUUACGAUGAC
Dioscorea cayenensis subsp. rotundata (Guinea yam) is the source of this 391-nucleotide long non-coding RNA. RefSeq lists it as uncharacterized. The transcript has 3 exons. The record is from RefSeq and is a predicted model, not a curated record. Lineage: Eukaryota; Viridiplantae; Streptophyta; Magnoliopsida; Dioscoreales; Dioscoreaceae.